RNAcentral lists this ribosomal RNA (406 nucleotides) under Fageicera sp. 479 FL-2019. RNAcentral describes it as "partial large subunit ribosomal RNA". Lineage: Eukaryota; Metazoa; Arthropoda; Arachnida; Araneae; Ochyroceratidae. The record is from RNAcentral.
CCUGCUCAAUGAAUUAUUAAAUAGCCGCAAUUUGUGCUAAGGUAGCAUAAUAACUUGUUUCUUAAUUAGAAAAUAGAAUGAAAGAAUAAACGUUUUUAUUCUAUCUUUAAUAUUAAAUAUUAAAAUUAUAAUAAAGAUAAAAAUAUUCUUAUAAAAAAGGAAGACGACAAGACCCUAUGAACUUACCUAAUAGAUUAACUGGGGAAGUUAAUUAAUAAUUAUUUAAAUUAAAAUUUACAAUAAAAGCUAAAUAGAAUAUAAUUAAAGUUACCAUAGGGAUAACAGCGUUAUAUACAUUUAAAGUUCUUAUAAAAAUGUAAAAUUUGCGACCUCGAUGUUGAAUUAAUAUUUCUUUUUUAAGAAUAAUUUUAAAAAGAAAGUCUGUUCGACUUUUAAAAUAUUACAU